ACCAAACAGCUAGCUCAAACCAUAAAAACCAAAUUAAUGAUAUAGAUAGUUCUACAGAAAGCUAAAAGUACAGACUAAACCAUUCGACCACCUCAGUAUGGGCGACAGAAAAGGAAAAAAGACGCUAUAGACAAA
This 135-nucleotide ribosomal RNA is filed under the name Brevoortia patronus (Gulf menhaden). RNAcentral's name for it is "partial 16S ribosomal RNA". The record is from RNAcentral. Lineage: Eukaryota; Metazoa; Chordata; Actinopteri; Clupeiformes; Clupeidae.